This 465-nucleotide ribosomal RNA is filed under the name Vreelandella stevensii. RNAcentral's name for it is "partial 16S ribosomal RNA". It matches the Rfam family "Bacterial small subunit ribosomal RNA", at positions 338 to 795 of the family's 1533-position model. Lineage: Bacteria; Pseudomonadati; Pseudomonadota; Gammaproteobacteria; Oceanospirillales; Halomonadaceae. The record is from RNAcentral.
CCUACGGGCGGCAGCAGUGGGGAAUAUUGGACAAUGGGCGAAAGCCUGAUCCAGCCAUGCCGCGUGUGUGAAGAAGGCCUUCGGGUUGUAAAGCACUUUCAGUGGGGAAGAAAGCCUUGGGGCUAAUACCCUCGAGGAAGGACAUCACCCACAGAAGAAGCACCGGCUAACUCCGUGCCAGCAGCCGCGGUAAUACGGAGGGUGCGAGCGUUAAUCGGAAUUACUGGGCGUAAAGCGCGCGUAGGCGGUCUGAUAAGCCGGUUGUGAAAGCCCCGGGCUCAACCUGGGAACGGCAUCCGGAACUGGCAGGCUAGAGUGCAGGAGAGGAAGGUAGAAUUCCCGGUGUAGCGGUGAAAUGCGUAGAGAUCGGGAGGAAUACCAGUGGCGAAGGCGGCCUUCUGGACUGACACUGACGCUGAGGUGCGAAAGCGUGGGUAGCAAACAGGAUUAGAUCCCCGUGUAGUC